Molecule: long non-coding RNA, 3827 nt
Filed under: Musa acuminata (dwarf banana)
Lineage: Eukaryota; Viridiplantae; Streptophyta; Magnoliopsida; Zingiberales; Musaceae
Description: long non-coding RNA (MACU_LNC011486)
Source: RNAcentral
GCUUACUUAUGCCAUAGCGUUAGGCUUAUUGUUUUGGGGCAUACCUCUAUAUUCUCUUUGUUGUGGAUCAUAUCUCUUUGUUGUGGAUCAUAUCUCUUUGUUGUGGACCAUAUCUCUUUGUUUUGGUCGUUACUUGUUGUUGGGUGUUAGCGAGAUUAAGCGCAGUAGUUAGUUCCAUAUUCAACAGGCCCGGCCCUACUCGCCAUGCCAUACAGCUCGACAAAGUAUCAAGUGGCUUCUGCCGUCAGGAAACAAAGCAGUGAGAUUAGAGUUGGGUUACUGAAGCAAAGCAUGUGAGUUUAGAGUAGAGAGUUAGAGAUAGCGGUGCCUAGCUGAGUUCAACAAGAGGUUGUGCGAAAGAACUCCCUUUAGCCGAAAACUGGAACAAGUAAACAAUCAAAGUAAUAGGUUUUGAGGUUACCUUAUUCUAUUGUAAGAACGCUGCUAUCUAUAUGAUUUUCCGUAUUGGCAAGGGAGUCGUAGAAACUUAUCUAACACGGUGCCUAUGCCUCAGAGUCCGGAAGAAGCAUUCAGGUUACAUGAAACCAUUAAGGGUACACUCAAUUCCAUUCUUUCUUUUGCCAAAACAUUUGAACAAGCAGGGGAACAGAUUUGUUUUAGAGUUAAGUAACCUGUUUAGAAGGUUGUUACUCCAUUGUAUCAUAUGCUGGAUAGAAGCAAGCUUAGGUGAACUAAACUCCUAAUGCCGGGUGGAUCAAAAGCCAUAGCUAGCUUGUUUGUGCUAACGCUUUGGCAAGGAAACGAAGCAAUGUUCUGGUUGGUUACAAUCUUCUUUCUAUAUGUGUUUUCUAGUCUUAGUUCAAUUCAAGUAAACAAGCAAAUCUAUUCAAUAAGCCUAUAAGCACAGGGCAAUAAAAGAAGUCAGUACUUUAGUCUAGCCUUCAAUGUGCCUCAACUCAAUUCGGCGGUAUAGCUUAGAGUUUUGUAUAGCUUAGAGUUGUUUUGUUCCUAUCUUUUAGUUGCAAGAGAGAUUCUAUCUAAUAUUCAAUAAGUAAGGAGUUGUGCAAACUUCAUCUUGUUGUUCGGGCACCGCUAUCACUCCCAGAGAUCAUAGUUCACCCCUUAUUAAGGACAGAAACGGAGAUCAUAGUUCACCCCUUAUUAAAGUCAAGACAGAAACAUAGAUCAUAGCCCCUUUUGCUUACGUGAGUUUGGUAGAACCAAGGCCUCCAGCCUCCAGAUGCCCACCAUGAUUGAAGAAUGCAUAAUAGUCCCAGUACGCAGUGAUAUACCAUAUAAUAGAAGCACCUAAGUGAUAUACCAUAUAAUAGAAGCACCUAUAUCCAAUAUAUAUAUAACUAUAGAGAUCUAAAUGGAGAUGUUUAUCUUAUUCUAUUUUCAUUAAUGAGAAUCAUUCUCUUUUUUUUCAUUAAUUAGAAUCACACACAACCCAUGGGCACCUCUUUCUAUACGGAUCUGAUUGACAACCCAAUCCGUAGCAAGGAAAGACUCUGUUAAUUCACAAACUAGAGGAGUAGCCGACAGGACGGAGGCAGCUACCCGACUCGUACGAGGAUCCCCUGUCAGAAUGAGGACUUAGUUUCUAGUAUGAGAGUCUAGCUUCUAAUCCGGCAGGGACUAUUUUCAACCAUAGAAUAGAGGCCCUUCCCUAGCAACAUCUUAGUAAUUAGCACUUUUCUCGAUUGAUACAAUGAACCGAUUCUCUUCUCUUUAACAGCUUUUUUCUCAUCUCUUUCACUGCUUUUUUUCUAUUCUCUUUAAUGCUUUUUGAAGGGCCUAGCAAUAGUGCAAGUAUAAGCUUCUGGGUGCAGUGGUGGCUACCGACAACAGCCUUACUGAUACGCUAGAACAAGGUGGGUUCGGUCACUCACGCUAUAAUUUCGCCGUCAUUUUCAAUAUCUCAGCCCCGUUCGUAAGGGCCCCUCUCUGAAAAGGAAGGAAAGUCACUUCCACUUUCAUGACCAAUAAGGUAAUUACAAAUCUGGUCCGAUGGCUCUUCUCCACAAACCACAAGGAUAUCGGUACUCUCUAUUUUCUCUUCGGUGCCAUUGCAGGAGUGAUGGGCACAUGCUUUUCCGUACUGAUUCGUAUGGAAUUAGCUCGACCCGGCGAUCAAAUUCUUGGUGGUAAUUAUCAACUUUAUAAUGUGUUAAUAACGGCUCACGCUUCUUUAAUGAUCUUUUUUAUGGUUAUGCCGGCGAUGAUAGGUGGAUCUGGAAAUUGGUUUGUACCGAUUCUUAUAGGUGCACCUGACAUGGCAUUUCCACGAUUAAAUAAUAUAUCAUUCUGGUUGUUGCCACCAAGUCUCUUGCUCCUAUUAAGCUCAGCCCUAGUAGAAGUGGGUACCGGCACUGGGUGGACGGUCUAUCCGCCCUUAAGUGGUAUUACCAGCCAUUCUGGAGGAGCAGUUGAUUCAGCAAUUUCUAGUCUUCAUCUCUCAGGUGUUUCAUCAAUUUUAGGAUCUAUCAAUUUUAUAACCACUAUCUUUAACAUGCGUGGACCUGGAAUGACUAUGCAUAGAUCACCCCUUUUUGUGUGGUCCGUUCUAGUUACAGCCUUCCUACUUUUAUUAUCACUUCCGGUACUGGCAGGGGCAAUAACAAUGUUAUUAACCGAUCGAAACUUUAAUACAACCUUUUCUGAUCCUGCUGGAGGGGGAGACCCUAUAUUAUACCAGCAUCUCUUUCGGUUCUUCGGUUUUCAAAGGCCCUUUUCUGAUUCCAAUCGGAAUACGCAUUGCGCUAUAUGCUGGGACUGUCUGCUUAAUGGUACUCCUACUAUGUUCAUAAGUGGUUUUCUAGUCAAACCCCGAUCUAGUCAAAAUGGAGUAUCUAAGACACAAUCAGCAGGUAACCAACGACAUAAAAGCAGUCUAGUAGGAACCUCAGAGACUACAUGCGCAACAACUUAUCCUAAAUCCUUCUGUGAGUGGCUAGCAGGAAUUCUCGAUGGUGCUGGAAGUAUUCAAGUUAGUAAACAAGGAUCUACUUCUCUGGAAAUUACUAUGGGACUUGCAGAUCUACGACUACUACGAUAUAUCCAACAUAUGCUUGGUGGAAGUAUCAAAAUUCGAGCAGGUGCUAAAGCUUAUCGUUAUCGACUACAUAAUCAACUUGGUAUGAUUCAACUAAUCAAUAGUCUUAAUGGUAAUAUUCGACAUUCAGCACGACUACUUCAACUACAUCGUGUCUGUCAAGUACUUGAUAUCCCUUUCAUUCUACCUAUUACACUAGAUGCUCAAUCCAAUUGGUUUGCAGGAUUCUUUGAUGCUGAUGGUACCAUUGGUCUCGCUAUGAAGCAUCGACUACCUCAACUAAGUAUUCGAGUCAAUAAUAAACUUCUACAAGAUUGUGAGUCUUAUAAGGUCGUAUUUGGAGGAAAUAUCUACUUUGAUAGUAGUCAAAAUGGUCACUAUCAAUGGUCUGUACAAAGUCGAAAAGAUGUUAUCAUGAUGCUAGAUUACUUUAAAUCAAGUACUUUCCGAAGUAAUAAAUCACUACGAUUCUUCCUUAUUGAGGAAUAUUACAGUCUUUACGAUCUCAAAGCAUUUCAACCUGACAGUAUUCACCAUAAAGCAUGGCUAGCUUUCCUAGACAAAUGGAAUAAGUUGAUGAUAUAGUCCACCUUUCUUCUAUUCAUCCGCGAUGAUAUAGUCUACCUUUCUUCUAUUCAUCCGCUUAUAGUAGUAGAAGAGAGAAGCACCCUGAAGUUUACAUCCUAAUUCUGCCUGGAUCCGGUAUCAUAAGUCAUAUCGUUUCUACUUUUUCGAAAAAACCGGUCUUCGGGUAUCUAGGCAUGGUUUAUGCCAUGAUCAGUAUAGGUGUUCUUGGAUUUCUUGUUUGGGC